Molecule: long non-coding RNA, 201 nt
Filed under: Hordeum vulgare
Lineage: Eukaryota; Viridiplantae; Streptophyta; Magnoliopsida; Poales; Poaceae
Description: long non-coding RNA (HVUL_LNC021246)
Source: RNAcentral
ACAACUAAAACAACAACAACAACAACAACAACAAAAACCUCAACAACAACAACAACAACAACCACCACCACAACAACAACAACUAUAACAACAACAACAACAACAACAACCACCACCACCAAAACAACAACAACUAUAACAACAACAACAACAACAACAAAGACGACGACGACGACAACGACGACAACAAUGACAACGACG